ACUCAAAGGAAUUGACGGGGGCCCGCACAAGCGGUGGAGCAUGUGGUUUAAUUCGACGCAACGCGAAGAACCUUACCAAGGCUUGACAUGGGACAGACCGUACGAGAGAUCGUGCUUCUCCAGCAAUGGAGCUGUCCACACAGGUGCUGCAUGGCUGUCGUCAGCUCGUGUCGUGAGAUGUUGGGUUAAGUCCCGCAACGAGCGCAACCCCCGUUUCUAGUUGCCAUCAUUCAGUUGGGCCCUCUAGAGAGACUGCCGCGAAUAACGCGGAGGAAGGUGGGGACGACGUCAAGUCAUCAUGGCCCUUACGUCUUGGGCUACACACGUGCUACAAUGGGCGUUACAAAGGGUCGCAAGAGCGCAAGCUGGAGCCAAUCCCCAAAAGCGCCCUCAGUUCAGAUUGAGGUCUGCAACUCGACCUCAUGAAGGUGGAAUCGCUAGUAAUCGCGGAUCAGAACGCCGCGGUGAAUACGUUCCCGGGCCUUGUACACACCGCCCGU
This 500-nucleotide ribosomal RNA is filed under the name uncultured bacterium. RNAcentral describes it as "partial 16S ribosomal RNA". It matches the Rfam family "Bacterial small subunit ribosomal RNA", at positions 899 to 1397 of the family's 1533-position model. The record is from RNAcentral.